RNAcentral lists this unclassified non-coding RNA (220 nucleotides) under Glomeraceae sp. RNAcentral's name for it is "partial contains 5.8S ribosomal RNA and internal transcribed spacer 2". The stretch from base 1 to 65 matches the Rfam family "5.8S ribosomal RNA", at positions 84 to 154 of the family's 154-position model. Lineage: Eukaryota; Fungi; Glomeromycota; Glomeromycetes; Glomerales; Glomeraceae. The record is from RNAcentral.
GUGAAUCAUCAAAUUUUUGAACGCAAAUUGCACUCUCUACGGAGAGUAUGCCUGUUUGUGGGUCAGCCUAAAAAAAAAUCGCCAUAUUCGCUGUUUCGUGGUGUCAUUCUUUGGAAAUUGGGUCAUCAUUAACCUUUGGGUAUUUAGCGUCUUACAUUUUUCUUUAGGAUUCCACGAACGUUUCUAAGAUUUAUCUCUUAUUCGUUUAAUUUCUUGAUCU